CCGCCCGGGCAGCGGGUCUGCACCCCAUGGGAAACACUGCAGAGAAGAUAAGAAUCAAAUGUUUAGUGAAACAGGAAUCCUAGCAGCUCCUGACCUGCACCAAGGACCGGGCUGGGAGCCAGGGCAGCCUCAGAGGCUGCCACGCAGGUGACCCAAGGUCCCCUCGUGAUCCUGCCAUCUCAGGCCCGGAGGAGAGCGUCCCAUCUCCUCCCCGGAACCGCGGCAUCUGGCAGCCGGCCAGCUUCGUGUGUCCUUAAAGGCGGGGUUCUCCACCUCAAGGGUGCGGCGCCCACCUCCUCCGGGGCCUGUGCCUCUUCAGGUCUCGCCUCAGUGCCAGCGGCAGACCCUCUCAAAGCGUGGCCUGCCGACGCCUGUGUCCAUCCUCAUUAACAGCCAGAUUCAGGGACACCAGCAGGGUGUCACGGGGCAAGUACCUCAUGUUCGAGUUCUCCACGCCACAGCCUUGCUGCUGAGAGACCACCCACUAUGGAAAGAGCAGGCGUGCACAGCUAUGGGUCAGCAGGGCCUCAGAUGGACGGUCUCUCCCUCUGCAGGCUGUGGUCAGCAGGCCCCUGGAUGCAGGCUGGCCCUGGAUGGACGGUCCUCCUCUGCAGGCCGUGUUUGGUGAGUUCGGUUCACAUGCAUCUCGUCCUCCAUGGUCCAGUUGGCUCACUGGACUGUUCGCUUUUCGGCCUGGGCAGGACCACAAGAGAGCAAGGCCGAAGAAACCCGCACUGGCACACAUCAAAACACAACUCCACACAACGUCCAAAACUCAUGCUCACACACAUCAAAACACAACUUCGCACAACGUCCAAAACUCACACACACACACAUCAAAACACAACUUCGCACAACGUCCAAAACUCACACACAAAGACACGACUUCACACAGCGUCCAAAACUCACGCUCACACACAUCAAGACACAACUUCACACAACGUCCAAAACUCACGCUCACACACACACAAGACACGACUUCACACAACGUCCAAAACUCAUGCUCACACACAUCAAAACUUCACACAUCCAAAACUCACGCUCACACACAUCAAAACACAACUUCACACAACGUCCAAAACUCACGCUCACACACAUCAAGAUACGACUUCACACAACGUCCAAAACUCACACACACACAUCAAAACACAACACACAACGUCCAAAACUCACACACACACAUCAAAACACAACUCCACACAACGUCCAAAACUCACGCUCACACACAUCAAAACACAACUUCGCACAACGUCCAAAA
RNAcentral lists this long non-coding RNA (1258 nucleotides) under Homo sapiens (human). RNAcentral's name for it is "non-protein coding lnc-FAM20C-4:2". The record is from RNAcentral. Lineage: Eukaryota; Metazoa; Chordata; Mammalia; Primates; Hominidae.